Molecule: unclassified non-coding RNA, 844 nt
Filed under: uncultured Prochlorococcus sp.
Lineage: Bacteria; Bacillati; Cyanobacteriota; Cyanophyceae; Synechococcales; Prochlorococcaceae
Description: partial may contain 16S ribosomal RNA, 16S-23S ribosomal RNA intergenic spacer, and 23S ribosomal RNA
Rfam family: tRNA (bases 341-413)
Source: RNAcentral
CGCCGAAGGUGGGGCUGAUGACUGGGGUGAAGUCGUAACAAGGUAGCCGUACCGGAAGGUGCGGCUGGAUCACCUCCUAACAGGGAGACAAAAACUGAUCGUGAUGUCUAGGUUAUUUAUUCUUAGGCCAUGAUCCUGUCACCUUAGGUCGAUCGGUACCUCAGAUUUUGUGCUCAAUUAGAUGAUUUAAGUAUCUGAUUGGGUACUCGAUUUCAGUUCCUAAACUUGUCUAGGUCACACCCAACAAGGGUACUCCUGGGCCAUUAGCUCAGGUGGUUAGAGCGCACCCCUGAUAAGGGUGAGGUCCCUGGUUCAAGUCCAGGAUGGCCCAUUCGGUGUUGGGGGUAUAGCUCAGUUGGUAGAGCGCCUGCUUUGCAAGCAGGAUGUCAGCGGUUCGAGUCCGCUUACCUCCACUGAUCCAACUCCUGAUAACGAAAUCUAAGGAGAUUUACGUUGUGCUGUGUGAUUUAGACGUUGUUUUAUCUGAAUGAUCCUAGCUUCCUAUCAUCAAUUAUUUACGAAAAUUAUUAGGUAAUUUGUUGACAGGACGCUGGGCUCACUGAAAUUUUAAUUCUAAAAAUUUCAGAGAUGUUCAGUAGAACCUUGACAACUGCAUAGGUAAGUCUGGAAAGAAUAAAGCAUCUCAUGGAUGUUAUUGCUCUUAAUUUAAAUACCCUUAUUCUAUAAGGAUAUUUAAAUAGGGUGAUAUUAAAAUUCUUGAGUAAGAGCCGAGACUCUAGACAAUAUUAUCUUUUGAUUAAUUGGCUCUAAAUUUCCAAUUUAGUGUCAAUAAAUUAAGGCUAUGAGUUUAGAGAUUAAUUGGUCAAGCUACAAAGGGCUCACG